UGAAUACGAGAUGCUACGGCGUCGAAGCAGUGUAUGUCAGACUUCCAAGAAAAGCUCGCAAUGUCAUAAAUAAAGAAUGCCUGUACCAUAACCGACACAGGUGGGUAGGUAGAGUAUACUAAGGGGCGCGAGAUAACUCUCUCUAAGGAACUCGGCAAAAUAACUCCGUAACUUCGGGAGAAGGAGUGCCUUCUUUAAGAAGGUUGCAAUAACAAGAUCCAAGCAACUGUUUAUCAAAAACACAGGUCUCCGCUAAGUCGUAAGACGAUGUAUGGGGGCUGACGCCUGCCCAGUGCCAGAAGGUUAAAGAAGUUGGUUAGCUUUUGCGAAGCUGAUGACUGAAGCCCUGGUGAACGGCGGCCGUAACUAUAACGGUCCUAAGGUAGCGAAAUUCCUUGUCGGGUAAGUUCCGACCCGCACGAAAGGCGUAAUGAUUUGGAUACUGUCUCGGAGAGGGACUCGGUGAAAUAGACUUGUCUGUGAAGAUGCGGACUACCUGCACCAGGACAGAAAGACCCUAUGAAGCUUUACUGUAACUUGAAAUUGAAAUUGGACUUUAUUUGCGCAGUAUAGGUGGAAGGCGUUGAAAGUAAUCUUGCGGGAUUAGUGGAGCCAUCAGUGAGAUACCACUCCUAUAAUGUUAGAUUUCUAACUUUGGAUCAUGAUCUGGUCAAAGAACAGUUUCAGGCGGGCAGUUUGACUGGGGCGGUCGCCUCCCAAAUGGUAACGGAGGCGUACAAAGGUUUCCUCUGAACGGGUAGAAAUCGUAUCUAGAGUGUAAAGGCAUAAGGAAGCUUGACUGUGAGACCUACAAGUCGAGCAGGGACGAAAGUCGGUCUUAGUGAUCUGACGGUGCUGAGUGGAAAGGCCGUCACUCAACGGAUAAAAGUUACUCUAGGAUAACAGGCUGAUCUCCCCCAAGAGUUCACAUCGACGGGGAGGUUUGGCACCUCGAUGUCGGCUCAUCGCAUCCUGGGGCGGUAGUACGUCCCAAGGGUUGGGCUGUUCGCCCAUGAAAGCGGUACGCGAGCUGGGUUCAGAACGUCGUGAGACAGUUCGGUCCAUAUCCGGUGUAGGCGUUAGAAUAUUGAGAGGAGCCUUCUUUAGUACGAGAGGACCGAGAAGGACAUACCUCUGGUGUACCAGUUAUCGUGCCAACGGUAAACGCUGGGUAGCUAUGUAUGGAGAGGAUAACCGCUGAAAGCAUCUAAGUGGGAAGCCCACCUCAAGAUGAG
This 1235-nucleotide ribosomal RNA is filed under the name metagenome. RNAcentral describes it as "bacterial LSU rRNA". It matches the Rfam family "Bacterial large subunit ribosomal RNA", at positions 1564 to 2808 of the family's 2925-position model. The record is from RNAcentral.